CACGUAGGGCGCAAGCGUUGUCCGGAAUUAUUGGGCGUAAAGAGCUCGUAGGCGGUCUGUUGCGUCCGCUGUGAAAACUCGGGGCUUAACCCCGAGCCUGCAGUGGAUACGGGCAGACUAGAGGUAGGUAGGGGAGAAUGGAAUUCCCGGUGUAGAGGUGAAAUGCGCAGAUAUCGGGAGGAACACCGGUGGCAAAGGCGGUUCUCUGGGCCUUACCUGACGCUGAGGAGCGAAAGCGUGGGGAGCGAACAGG
RNAcentral lists this ribosomal RNA (253 nucleotides) under uncultured bacterium. RNAcentral's name for it is "partial 16S ribosomal RNA". It matches the Rfam family "Bacterial small subunit ribosomal RNA", at positions 524 to 776 of the family's 1533-position model. The record is from RNAcentral.